CCUACGGGUGGCAGCAGUGGGGAAUAUUGCACAAUGGGGGAAACCCUGAUGCAGCGACGCCGCGUGAAGGAAGAAGUAUUUCGGGAUGUAAGCUUCUAUCAGCAGGGAAGAAAAUGACGGUACAUGACUAAGAAGCCACGGCUAACUACGUGCAAGCAGCCGCGGUAAUACGUAGGGGGCAAGCGUUAUCCGGAUUUACUGGGUGUAAAGGAAGCGUAGGCGGUGCAGCAAGUCAGAAGUGAAAGCCCGGGGCUCAACUCCGGGACUGCUUUUGAAACUGUUGAAAGAGAUGGCAGGAGAGGUAAGUGGAAUUCCUAGUGUAGCGGUGAAAUGCGUAGAUAUUAGGAGGAACACCAGUGGCGAAGGCGGCUUACUGGACUGUAAAUGACGCUGAGGCUCGAAAGCGUGGGGAGCAAACAGGAUUAGAUACCCCGGUAGUC
RNAcentral lists this ribosomal RNA (440 nucleotides) under uncultured bacterium. RNAcentral's name for it is "partial 16S ribosomal RNA". It matches the Rfam family "Bacterial small subunit ribosomal RNA", at positions 338 to 795 of the family's 1533-position model. The record is from RNAcentral.